GAUGAACGCUGGCGGCAUGCCUAAUACAUGCAAGUCGAACGAAGUCUUUAGAAAGCUUGCUUUUAAAAGACUUAGUGGCGAACGGGUGAGUAACACGUAGGGAACCUGCCCAUGUACCCGGGAUAACAGAUGGAAACGUCUGCUAAAACCGGAUAGGUAUAGACAAGGCAUCUUGACUAUAUUAAAGGACCUUCGGGUGUGGACAUGGAUGGACCUGCGGCGUAUUAGCCAGUUGGCGGGGUAACGGCCCACCAAAGCGAUGAUACGUAGCCGGCCUGAGAGGGUAGACGGCCACAUUGGGACUGAGACACGGCCCAAACUCCUACGGGAGGCAGCAGUAGGGAAUUUUCGUCAAUGGGGGGAACCCUGAACGAGCAAUGCCGCGUGAGUGAAGAAGGCCUUCGGGUCGUAAAGCUCUGUUGUAAGAGAAAAACGGUAAUGAUAGGGAAUGAUCAUUAAGUGAUGGUAUCUUACGAGGAAGCCACGGCUAACUACGUGCCAGCAGCCGCGGUAAUACGUAGGUGGCAAGCGUUAUCCGGAAUGAUUGGGCGUAAAGGGUGCGCAGGCGGAUGUAUAAGUCUGAAGUAAAAGCCAUCGGCUCAACCGAUGUAAGCUUUGGAAACUGUAGAUCUAGAGUGCAGGAGAGGACAGUGGUAUUCCAUGUGUAGCGGUAAAAUGCGUAGAUAUAUGGAGGAACACCAGUGGCGAAGGCGACUUUCUGGACAGUAACUGACGUUGAGGCACGAAAGUGUGGGGAGCAAACAGGAUUAGAUACCCUGGUAGUCCACACUGUAAACGAUGGAUACUAGGUGUAGGGUGUAUUAAGCACUCUGUGCCGCCGCAAACGCAUUAAGUAUCCCACCUGGGGAGUACGACCGCAAGGUUGAAACUCAAAGGAAUUGACGGGGGCCCGCACAAGCAGUGGAGUAUGUGGUUUAAUUCGAAGCAACGCGAAGAACCUUACCAGGGCUUGACAUAUACAGGAAUAUACAAGAGAUUGUAUAGCUCUUCGGAGUCUGUAUACAGGUGGUGCAUGGUUGUCGUCAGCUCGUGUCGUGAGAUGUUGGGUUAAGUCCCGCAACGAGCGCAACCCCUGCUUUUAGUUGCCAGCACGUAAUGGUGGGAACUCUAGAAGGACUGCCGGUGAUAAAUCGGAGGAAGGUGGGGACGACGUCAAACCAUCAUGCCCUUUAUGUCCUGGGCUACACACGUACUACAAUGGCCGCAACAGAGGGAAGCAAAAUAGUGAUAUGGAGCAAAACCCUAAAAACGGUCUCAGUUCGGAUUGAAGGCUGAAAUUCGCCUUCAUGAAGCUGGAAUUGCUAGUAAUGGCAGGUCAGCAUACUGCCGUGAAUACGUUCCCGGGCCUUGUACACACCGCCCGUCACACCAUGAGAGUUGGGAAUACCCGAAGCCUGUGAGCUAACUGUAAGGAGGCAGCAGUCGAAGGUAGAAUCAAUGAUUGGGGUG
Molecule: ribosomal RNA, 1470 nt
Filed under: uncultured bacterium
Lineage: Bacteria
Description: partial 16S ribosomal RNA
Rfam family: Bacterial small subunit ribosomal RNA
Source: RNAcentral